RNAcentral lists this ribosomal RNA (402 nucleotides) under uncultured Acidobacteriota bacterium. RNAcentral's name for it is "bacterial SSU rRNA". It matches the Rfam family "Bacterial small subunit ribosomal RNA", at positions 353 to 772 of the family's 1533-position model. The record is from RNAcentral. Lineage: Bacteria; Pseudomonadati; Acidobacteriota.
AGUGGGGAAUCUUGCACAAUGGGGGAAACCCUGAUGCAGCGACGCCGCGUGAGCGAUGAAGCCCUUCGGGGUGUAAAGCUCUUUCGACGGGAACGAUAAUGACGGUACCCGGAGAAGAAGCUGCGGCUAACUACGUGCCAGCAGCCGCGGUAAUACGUAGGCAGCAAACGUUGUUCGGAAUUACUGGGCGUAAAGAGUGUGUAGGCGGUUGGGUAAGUUUGGUGUGAAAUCUCCCGGCUUAACUGGGAGGGUGCGCCGAAAACUGCCUGGCUUGAGUACUGGAGAGGAUAGCGGAAUUCCUGGUGUAGCGGUGAAAUGCGUAGAUAUCAGGAGGAACACCUGCGGUGUAGACGGCUGUCUGGACAGUAACUGACGCUGAGACACGAAAGCGUGGGGAGCAAA